UUAGUGAAUUUAUUUCAGUAAGAUGGAUAAUUUGUUCAAAGUACCAAACACAUUUGCUUUUAUAAUUCAUGCCAUUUGUAUUACAUGUCUACAUGAAAUAGAGAAAGAAUAUAGGACAUGUAACUACACAUGCAACCUUGGGCUUUCCAAAAUGUUUAAAGUACCAAAUUCCCUUGGUGCCAAUUGUUUUAGGCAUUUCAUCUUCACUCAUUUGCUUCCUAAAUAUAGCAUAGGUGUGAUGUACCCUGUAAAUUUCAAAUUCACAUAAAGAAGUCCCAGCCUUUGAGGCAACUCUUAAUUGAAUACCAAACGAAAACGUUAGUGUCAUCUGAAAUGUUUCUGAAUAAAUAGUUGCUUUAAAGUCUUCUUUGAUUUCUAUGUUCAUUAGUGUCCAAAUUCAGAAUGGGAACCAAGUUGGGGAGAAAAAGAAACGAAGUCUUUCAGGACAGUCUUUGAAAGAGACUUGGUAAAGAGCACAUUGGGACCCAAAGGCAUGGACAAAAUUCAUCUAAGCAGUGGACGAGAUGCCUCUCUUAUGAUAACCAAUGAUGGUGCCACUAUUCUAAAAAGCAUUGGUGUUGACAAUCCAGCAGCUAAAGUUUUAGUUGAUAUGUCAAGGGUUCAAGAUGAUGAAGUUAGUGACGGCACUACUUCUGUUACCAUUUUAGCAGCAGAAUUAUUAAGGGAAGCAGAAUCCUUAAUUGCAAAAAUGAUUCAUCCACAGACCAUCAUAGCAGGUUGGAGAGAAGCCACAAAGGCUGCAAGAGAGGCUCUGUUGAGUUCCACGGUCGAUCAUGGUUCUGAUAAAGUUAAAUUCCGUCAAGAUUUAAUGAAUGUUGCUGGCACAACAUUAUCCUCAAAACUUCUUACUCAUCACAAAGACCACUUUACUAUGUUAGCUGUAGAAGUGGUUCUCAGACUAAAAGGCUCUGGCAACCUGGAGGCAAUUCAUACUAUCAAGAAGCUAGGAGGAAGUUUGGCAGAUUCCUGUUUAGAUGAAGGCUUUCCGUUGGAUAAAAAAAUUGGAGUGAAUCAACCAAAAUGAAUUGAAAAUAUUCAAAUUCUUAUUGCAGACAAUUUUGUCUGUAUGGAUACAGGCAAAAUAAAGAUAUUUGGUUACUGGGAAGAGUUGAUUCUACAGCAAAGUUUGCAGAAAUAGAACAUGUGGAAAAGGAAAAAAUGAAGGAGAAGGUUGAAUGUAUUCUUAAGCAUGGAAUAAAUUGCUUUAUUAACAGGCAGUUAAUUUAUAAUUAUCCUGAACAGCUCUUCGGUACUGCUGGUGUCAGGGCUAUUGAGCAUGCAGAUUUUGCAGGUGUGGAAUGCCUAGUUCUUGUCACGGGUGGUGAAAUUGCCUCUACCUUUGAUCACCCAGAACUGGUGAAGCUUGGAAGCUGCAAACUUAUCGAGGAAGUCAUGAUUGGAGAAGACAAACUCAUUCACUUUUCUGGGGUUGCCCUUGGUGAGGCUUGUACUAUUGUUUUGCGUGGUGCCACUCAACAAAUUUUAGAUGAAGCAGAAAGAUCUUUGCAUGAUGCUGUUUGUGUUCUUGCACAAACUGUAAAGGACUCUAGAACAGUUUAUGGAGGAGGCUGUUCAGAGAUGUUGAUGGCUCAUGCUGUGACACAGCUUACCAAUAGAACACCAGGCAAAGAAGCUGUUGCAAUGGAGUCUUAUGCUAAAUCACUGAGAAUGUUGCCAACCAUCAUAGCUGACAGUGCAGGCUAUGACAGUGCAGACCAGCAGCACAGCUCAGAGCUGCUCACCAUGAAGGUAACACCACUGCUGGACUGGAUAUGAGGGAAGGUCCCAUUGGAGAUAUGGCUCUCCUGGGUAUAACAGAAAGUUUUCAAGUAAAGCAACAAGUUCUUCUAAGUGCAGCUGAAGCAGUAGAGGUGAUUCUACAUGUGGACGACAUCAUCAAAGCAGCACCCAGGAAGCGUGUCCCUGAUCACCACCCGUGUUAAGCAUUCCCAUGUGCUGUUAAUCUCUGGACCAAUUUCUAGCAAAGUUGUGUUUGAAAGACAGCCUCUUAAAGAAGACUGUGGAAUCUGUUUAUUGGUGCCCAUUAUAUCCUUAAGUUUGGACAUUUAGCUGAACUUCUCUUUUAACAUGGGUCUAAUUUAUUUGCCAUGUAAUUUUCCAUACAAAUCAGUUGAUUGAAAAGUUCAUUUCUCAUACUGUACAUUAAAAUAAAAAUUUGAACAAUUAAAAAAAAGAUGUGACAGAUAAUUUUUUUGGCUAAGACAGGGUAGAUUCAAGUAGUCAGGUAAUAGAAAAGGGAGUGCCUUGUAUAUCAACUCAUGCUGGAAUUUGUGAAAUCGUAUAAAGUUUGAUAGAAAAAAUGUUAAAUUCAUCAAACCUUGUUUAGUCAUAAUCCUUACAAUUUCUGAUUUAGUAUAACAUCCUGAAUAAAUUUUUUCAGACUGAUGGAGAGAAGAAAUUAUUCUUUGCAAUAUGUAAAUUUCUGACUAAUAGGAGUAAAAGAAAAUAAUUGGUUCCUUAGGAUAUUUCUGGUUACUUAUGAGACGUUUGAGGAGGGACUCUGUCUAACUAUUGUUUUUAACCCUUGUUGUUGGUGGGUAGACAGAACAUUAAUGCUACAUGAAAGAUAGUUACUCUUGAAUCCUCAAGAGAAAGUAGGUUAUUUUUUUCUCUGUUAUCCAACAAACUUUUAACAAUUCUAAAGAAAGAAGUAAAAAGCACUUAGUUUUCAGAAGCAUGUUUCAGCUUCUUGCAUCAGGAGUAGGCCAGAUGGCCACGUUCUGUAUGGCUUUAUAAAUAUUCCUUUUUGUUCCAUGUAAAAGUUAAUGGCUAGUUUUAAACCAUGGUAUCAUUUUGAAAUCAGACCUUAUGUGCUUAACUUCAUUCAAACUAUUUCUAUUUUGUUAGACUGUAGGAAAACACAGAGCUGAGCUAUUAAAAUUCCAGAGCAAUUUGGAAUUGCCAACAAUAUGUACUGGAGAGAUGGGGAUGGAGUCUGAAGUCAAACGAAUUUGAAACUAGUCUCCUUUUACAUGCUGGGUGACUUUGGACAAGGGGAAAAGCUACCCGUGGGGUUUCUGUGAAUGUUAAAUGAAAUAAUACAUGCAGAGUGCUUGAAGUAAUGCUAGGGACAUAGCAAACCAAAAAAA
Cebus imitator (Panamanian white-faced capuchin) is the source of this 3131-nucleotide RNA transcript. It is a transcript of the gene named T-complex protein 1 subunit beta-like, with no coding region annotated. The transcript has a single exon. The record is from RefSeq and is a predicted model, not a curated record. Lineage: Eukaryota; Metazoa; Chordata; Mammalia; Primates; Cebidae.